GGAAGUAAUCCGGCCGGAUGAGGAGACUGUCUUGAAAACAGUUAAUUCUGUUAGUACCAGAAUUGUGGGUUCGAGUCCUACUGCUUCCG
RNAcentral lists this transfer RNA (89 nucleotides) under Sphingobacteriales bacterium. RNAcentral describes it as "tRNA-Ser". It matches the Rfam family "tRNA". From Rfam's summary of the family: Transfer RNA (tRNA) molecules are approximately 80 nucleotides in length. Lineage: Bacteria; Pseudomonadati; Bacteroidota; Sphingobacteriia; Sphingobacteriales. The record is from RNAcentral.